CUAUGGAAUUUAAUAGCAAAUGAUCACCUUUCUGUAGGACUUUUAAAUUAUCCCAUAGGUUUCUAUAGCAAGUAUACAAUUCUCUGUUAAAUUCCACAGGAUGGUUCAAACACGCUGUGACGCUGGCAGACCAGGUGCCAGCUCAAGCCAAGGCCCCUAGGUUUCAUGAAGACUAACAAAUGCAUAGCUGGAAAACAGUCUGACUCACCUGUGUGCUAGCAUUGCUAAAAUAGAUUUAAGUUUUCAAUGUGUUCUAUGUU
Long non-coding RNA from Dermochelys coriacea (leatherback sea turtle), 260 nucleotides. RefSeq lists it as uncharacterized. The record is from RefSeq and is a predicted model, not a curated record. The transcript has 3 exons. Lineage: Eukaryota; Metazoa; Chordata; Testudines; Dermochelyidae.